UCCGAGCUGUCAGCACAGAGCCCAACACGGGGCUCGAACUCACAGACCACAAGAUCAUGACCUGAGCCGAAGUCAGACGCUCAACCAACUAAACCACCCAGGCGCCCCUAAAUGUGUCUUUCUACCUCAAGGGCGUUAUUAAUCCCCGAUGCCUAAAAUAGUACCUACUAUUCUUCUAACAUCAGUUAGGAAUAUAUUUGGCUGCAAGUAACAACAACAACAAACUAUGACAAACGAUGAACUUCACAAAUUUUAGCCACCUAAGAAGAAAUCCAAAGGUUUGAACUGAAACAUCGGCUCUUGUUGGGUCUGGAGGCUGCCAGCUUUUGGAUGGAAACCACACUGUCAGCAAUCCUGGUUAUCAGGCCUUUGGACUUGGACUGGAACAAAAUCAUCGGCUCUCCUGGGUCUCCAGCUUGCCACCUCACUGCAGAUCUUGGGACUUACCUUCUUCCAUAAUCACAUGAGCCAAUUCCUUGCAAUCAAUUGCUCAAUCUUAUUGGUUCUGUUUCUAUGGAGAACCCUGACUAAUACAGAAUGAUAUUGUUAUGAUUGGUUCAAAGGGCUGUGCAACAGAAAUAUAAUGUGAGUCAUUUGUGUAAUUCAAAGUCUUCUAGUAGCCACAUUAAAAACAUGAAGAGGUGAAA
Long non-coding RNA from Felis catus (domestic cat), 647 nucleotides. RefSeq lists it as uncharacterized. The transcript has 2 exons. NCBI's taxonomy places the organism in Eukaryota, Metazoa, Chordata, Mammalia, Carnivora, Felidae. The record is from RefSeq and is a predicted model, not a curated record.